CGCACAUUGCGCCUCCUGGUAUUCCGGGAGGCAUGCCUGUUCGAGCGUCAUUAAAACCUCCUCAAGCUCUUUUGCUUGGUAUUGGAAGAAGAGGCCGCUUGUCGGUCUCCCUUUCGAAAUGCAAUGGCAGAUUGCCUCAUGUGCCCUGGCGUAAUAAGAUUUAUCUUUCGCUUGUGCAUUGGGAUGAUCCCGCCGCAAACCCCCAAUUUUUUCUGGUUGACCUCGGAUCAGGUAGGGAUACCCGCUGAACUUAA
This 254-nucleotide unclassified non-coding RNA is filed under the name Pyronema sp. RNAcentral describes it as "partial contains 5.8S ribosomal RNA, internal transcribed spacer 2, and large subunit ribosomal RNA". Lineage: Eukaryota; Fungi; Ascomycota; Pezizomycetes; Pezizales; Pyronemataceae. The record is from RNAcentral.